This 459-nucleotide ribosomal RNA is filed under the name uncultured bacterium. RNAcentral's name for it is "partial 16S ribosomal RNA". It matches the Rfam family "Bacterial small subunit ribosomal RNA", at positions 338 to 795 of the family's 1533-position model. The record is from RNAcentral.
CCUACGGGCGGCAGCAGUGAGGAAUAUUGGUCAAUGGGCGUAAGCCUGAACCAGCCAAGCCGCGUGAGUGAUGAAGGUUCUAUGCAUCGUAAACCUCUUUUAUAAGGGAAUAAAGUGCGGUACGUGUCCCGUUUUGUAUGUACCUUAUGAAUACGGAUCGGCUAACUCCGUGCCAGCAGCCGCGGUAAUACGGAGGAUGCGAGCGUUAUCCGGCUUUAUUGGGUUUAAGGGGUGCGAAGGCGGACGAUCAAGUCAGCGGGAAAAUGUCGGGGCUAAACCCCGGCCGGCCGUUGAAACUGGUUGGCUAGAGUUGGAGAGAGGGAAGCGGAAUGCGUGGUGUAGCGGUGAAAUGCAUAGAUAUGAGGAAGAACACCGAUUGCGAAGGCAGCAUACCGGCUGCAUACUGACGCUGAGGCACGAAAGCGUGGGGAUCGAACAGGAUUAGAUACCCUGGUAGUC